ACCUCUGCAAUAGGCGAAAGCCUGACAGGGUUACUCUGAGUGAUGCCCGCUAAGGGUAUCUUUUGGCACCUCUAAAAAUGGUGCAGAAUAAGGGGUGGGCAAGUCUGGUGUCAGCCGCCGCGGUAAUACCAGCACCCCGAGUUGUCGGGACGAUUAUUGGGCCUAAAGCAUCCGUAGCCUGUUCUACAAGUCCUCCGUUAAAUCCACCUGCUCAACAGAUGGGCUGCGGGGGAUACUAUAGGGCUAGGAGGCGGGAGAGGCAAACGGUACUCAGUGGGUAGGGGUAAAAUCCAUUGAUCUACUGAAGACCACCAGUGGCGAAGGCGGUUUGCCAGAACGCGCUCGACGGUGAGGGAUGAAAGCUGGGGGAGCAAACCGGAUUAGAUACCCGGGUAGUCCCAGCUGUAAACGAUGCAGACUCGGUGAUGGGUUGGCUUCGCGCCAACCCAGUGCCGCAGGGAAGCCGUUAAGUCUGCCGCCUGGGGAGUACGGUCGCAAGACUGAAACUUAA
This 511-nucleotide ribosomal RNA is filed under the name uncultured archaeon. RNAcentral's name for it is "bacterial SSU rRNA". It matches the Rfam family "Archaeal small subunit ribosomal RNA", at positions 346 to 859 of the family's 1478-position model. The record is from RNAcentral.